Carassius carassius (crucian carp) is the source of this 746-nucleotide long non-coding RNA. RefSeq lists it as uncharacterized. Lineage: Eukaryota; Metazoa; Chordata; Actinopteri; Cypriniformes; Cyprinidae. The record is from RefSeq and is a predicted model, not a curated record. The transcript has 3 exons.
GCACUGAACUGAAUUGAGGUGUGCAGACGAUCAAUGACUCGGACAAUCGCUCAACCUGAUGUGUGCAUGACCUCAGAAACCCGAGAGCUUGAUCCCUGUAAGAGCUUCUGAACUCCUGCGGGGGAAACAGGGCUGGCUGGAGAUCUGGCUCAGGUCGGAGAUGACUUUCACUUCUCUAAUUGGAUUUGCUGCUGCCAGUGUGGAGUUCACAGCCAGGGCUGGACGCACGCCAGUCCACUGCAUCUGGGUUCGGUCUUUUAAGCUUCAGCGCUUCACUGAUUCUCAUUCAUUACGCUGGCAUGUGUAGGCGUUAACUCAGAAUAGGGAGAUUGGAGGAACAGUACAGAGUGACUGUGAAUGCAGGUGAAAGAUCUGCUGCGGUGAUUUCACUCAACAAUCACAACUGUGAUGAUGCUCUGGAGACGAGGGGCGAUUCCAGGCCAUGUUUAAUCCACAGACUCUGUUGAAUCAUCCCAGCAUGUGAUGGAAUAACCACAGGUCUGCUUAAAUACAUUUGUUGACUCACCUUUUCAAUUACAGGACAGACAGCAGCGCUUUCCUUUUGGACGGCACAUCUGAAUGCAUAAACAUCCACAUGGUAUUGAUUUACUCCCUCUGGGUUCAGGAAAUUAGAUCACAUGACCAGUGCAGUAUGUUUUAAUUCUAAUGGGUUUCCAAUAAAUGUAAAGACAAACGAUGACACAAAAUACAGCUUCAUUGAGUGAUGCAAUCCACAUGUUUCUUAA